Lepidothrix coronata (blue-crowned manakin) is the source of this 1299-nucleotide long non-coding RNA. RefSeq lists it as uncharacterized. The record is from RefSeq and is a predicted model, not a curated record. The transcript has 4 exons. NCBI's taxonomy places the organism in Eukaryota, Metazoa, Chordata, Aves, Passeriformes, Pipridae.
UUGCGAAGUCCCCCCGCACGUUUUCAGCAUGCCCUGCUUGCUCGUGGUGCCUUGUGGGUGUUUCUGCACCUCACUCCAAGUUCCCGGUCUCUCUCCCGCCCUUUUCUGGGAGGGUUUUCCUCACUAUUUUCACCUCCGAGGCUGCAGGGACAUAAAAACUUGAUGUGUUGCAGCACCAUCUGCUGGUUACUAUUAGCGAGGGGCUGCUGCUUUAAAAAUGUUCCAUUCUCACAAAGCCUGGAAUUAUGCUCUCAAACCUACCACGGGUCAGCAGAACAGUGGAGACAUCUGAUGUAGCCACACCAGCAAAGUCAAAAGCAGACAUGUCAAAGAAACAAGGUUCCCUGUGAGAUCACACCCAAGGAGUUCACAGUGAAGGCUGAUGUGGACACAGCAGCACAUGCAGGCUGUGAUGAGAUGUGAUGCCACAGCAAGGAGAGGGACACCGGCACCCUCAGUCCUGCAGCCAUGGAUCAGGAGCUGUGGAACAAGCUCACCAGGAGGCAGUAAGGAAAGGAGGUGGAUUAGUGCCAACUCACCCUUUAUUUGUAGAUAUAUUCAGUUGUGCUUUCCUGAGACUGUGACCGAGUUCCCUUUUCCUAAUAUAAAUUUUUCUAACUCUUUCCAAAAGCUUGCCACUGGAGUUCCUUGUAUGAAUGUGCUUUUUGGUUUUUCCAGCUUCCUGGGUAGAGACUUAAGCUUGACAAAAGGCAUUUGUUUAUACCAAAUUCAGUAAUUUUUGCUGCUCUUAACUACCUGAUGGGAAGGCUGCAGAUGUGUAACUAACUCCAAAGUCAGUAACAAUUUGUAUUAAAAUUAUAAUAGAUACCCUUCCUACACUCUCCAACCUCUUACCUUUGAUAGAACACGUGAGCAGACCCAGAGGAAGCUUAGGUAUGAGAGAUGAUCCUGCUGUUUGAAUUCCCACCUCUGAUGAGCAUUAAGGUCUUACCUGUUAAGAAAACUGUUUCUCUCACAUCCAUGCAAGAUUUCUGGGUCCUGUUACCUGUUUCUGGGUAACAGUACAUGCUGAACUUACUUACUGACCAUACCAAGUAGAAAUAUGUAAAAUACACAUCCUGAAAAUGUGUAACAGCUCAAUUUAUACAUAUUUAUGUUACCUUAUUGCAGGAUCUUCACACCUUCCUAUGAAGUCUUUGUGACUGUUCUUGAAAAUUAAACAAAGCUCACAUGAAAUAAACCUAAUGGUGAAUACUUGAUCUGCAGGAACCCUUUCAAUGAAAACAGAAUGUUUUAAAUCCACUAUGUUCAGUUCUCCUGACAGGAAAAGCUGAUUAA